AUUGAACGCUGGCGGCAGGCCUAACACAUGCAAGUCGAGCGGAUGAAGGGAGCUUGCUCCUGGAUUCAGCGGCGGACGGGUGAGUAAUGCCUAGGAAUCUGCCUGGUAGUGGGGGAUAACGUCCGGAAACGGGCGCUAAUACAGCAUACGUCCUGAGGGAGAAAGUGGGGGAUCUUCGGACCUCACGCUAUCAGAUGAGCCUAGGUCGGAUUAGCUAGUUGGUGGGGUAAAGGCCUACCAAGGCGACGAUCCGUAACUGGUCUGAGAGGAUGAUCAGUCACACUGGAACUGAGACACGGUCCAGACUCCUACGGGAGGCAGCAGUGGGGAAUAUUGGACAAAGGGCGAAAGCCUGAUCCAGCCAUGCCGCGUGUGUGAAGAAGGUCUUCGGAUUGUAAAGCACUUUAAGUUGGGAGGAAGGGCAGUAAGUUAAUACCUUGCUGUUUUGACGUUACCAACAGAAUAAGCACCGGCUAACUUCGUG
This 484-nucleotide ribosomal RNA is filed under the name uncultured bacterium. RNAcentral describes it as "partial 16S ribosomal RNA". It matches the Rfam family "Bacterial small subunit ribosomal RNA", at positions 30 to 507 of the family's 1533-position model. The record is from RNAcentral.